GACGAACGCUGGCGGCGUGCUUAACACAUGCCAGUCGAACGGAAAAGCCCUGCUUGCAGGGUACUCGAGUGGCGAACGGGUGAGUAACACGUGGGUGAUCUGCCCUGCACUUCGGGAUAAGCCUGGGAAACUGGGUCUAAUACCGGAUAGGAGCCAUUUUUAGUGUGAUGGUUGGAAAGUUUUUUCGGUGUAGGAUGAGCUCGCGGCCUAUCAGCUUGUUGGUGGGGUAAUGGCCUACCAAGGCGGCGACGGGUAGCCGGCCUGAGAGGGUGGACGGCCACAUUGGGACUGAGAUACGGCCCAGACUCCUACGGGAGGCAGCAGUGGGGAAUAUUGCACAAUGGGCGCAAGCCUGAUGCAGCGACGCCGCGUGGGGGAUGACGGCCUUCGGGUUGUAAACUCCUUUCGCUAGGGACGAAGCUUUUUGUGACGGUACCUAGAUAAGAAGCACCGGCUAACUACGUG
Molecule: ribosomal RNA, 465 nt
Filed under: uncultured bacterium
Lineage: Bacteria
Description: partial 16S ribosomal RNA
Rfam family: Bacterial small subunit ribosomal RNA
Source: RNAcentral